Long non-coding RNA from Mauremys reevesii (Reeves's turtle), 449 nucleotides. RefSeq lists it as uncharacterized. The transcript is spliced from 2 exons. Lineage: Eukaryota; Metazoa; Chordata; Testudines; Geoemydidae. The record is from RefSeq and is a predicted model, not a curated record.
GGGGCGGCUGCUCUCGGCGGGCUGGGCUGGAAGUUACCAGUGUCAGGCUAGUCGGCAAAUGAAGCAAAAAUGCCCCGCGGGAGCUCUGGCCGCGCCAGGCGAGGCGCGCUCGGCAGCCCCUCGGGGCCACGGACGGUCGGGCGCGGGGCGCCUCUGUUCCGACUCUCUCACGGGGGCGACGGCUGCGGAUUUGGCGGCUGUCUGAGUUAUUACUGCUGCUGGCGCAUCAUAGACACUGGAUCAAUGAAUCUUCAGGCUUCUAGGAAUAUUUGCAAGAGGAGGAGGAAUACCGUGAACGUGAGGACAUGCGAAAGAUGGUGAUACUUGCAACCUAGGGCUGAACUGGAGGUAAUUUAUGGGUGGAUCAAUAACAUGCGAAGGUUCUUGAAAGACUAUUAGACAGCAGCAAGCGUGAUUUACGAUUAAAUAAUUUAAAUUGUGUAUUUAUC